AGAGUUUGAUCCUGGCUCAGGACGAACGCUGGCGGCAUGCCUAACACAUGCAAGUCGAACGGGGAUACGAGAGCUUGCUUUUGUAUCUUAGUGGCGGACGGGCGAGUAACGCGUGAGCAACCUGCCCUUCAGUGGGGAAUAACGUCUGGAAACGGACGCUAAUACCGCAUAACACAACGGAGCCGCAUGACUUUGUUGUCAAAGGAUUUAUUCGCUGAAGGAUGGGCUCGCGUCCGAUUAGCUAGAUGGUGGGGUAAAGGCUCACCAUGGCGACGAUCGGUAGCCGAACUGAGAGGUUGAUCGGCCGCAUUGGGACUGAGACACGGCCCAGACUCCUACGGGAGGCAGCAGUGGGGGAUAUUGCACAAUGGGGGAAACCCUGAUGCAGCAAUGCCGCGUGAGGGAAGAAGGUCUUCGGAUUGUAAACCUAAGUAGCCAGGGACGAUAAUGACGGUACCUGGAGAGUAAGCUCCGGCUAACUACGUGCCAGCAGCCGCGGUAAUACGUAGGGAGCGAGCGUUGUCCGGAUUUACUGGGUGUAAAGGGUGCGUAGGCGGGAUGGCAAGUCAGAUGUGAAAUACCGGGGCUUAACCCCGGGGCUGCAUUUGAAACUGUCGUUCUUGAGUGAAGUAGAGGCAGGCGGAAUUCCUAGUGUAGCGGUGAAAUGCGUAGAUAUUAGGAGGAACACCAGUGGCGAAGGCGGCCUGCUGGGCUUUAACUGACGCUGAGGCACGAAAGCAUGGGGAGCAAACAGGAUUAGAUACCCUGGUAGUCCAUGCCGUAAACGAUGAUUGCUAGGUGUGGGGGGACUGACCCCUUCCGUGCCGGAGUAAACACAAUAAGCAAUCCACCUGGGGAGUACGGCCGCAAGGCUGAAACUCAAAGGAAUUGACGGGGGCCCGCACAAGCAGUGGAGUAUGUGGUUUAAUUCGAAGCAACGCGAAGAACCUUACCAGGUCUUGACAUCCAACUGACGAGGCAGAGAUGCGUUAGGUGCCCUUCGGGGAAAGUUGAGACAGGUGGUGCAUGGUUGUCGUCAGCUCGUGUCGUGAGAUGUUGGGUUAAGUCCCGC
RNAcentral lists this ribosomal RNA (1072 nucleotides) under gut metagenome. RNAcentral describes it as "bacterial SSU rRNA". It matches the Rfam family "Bacterial small subunit ribosomal RNA", at positions 8 to 1090 of the family's 1533-position model. The record is from RNAcentral.